CAGUAGCCGCGGUAAUACGUAGGGUGCAAGCGUUAAUCGGAAUUACUGGGCGUAAAGCGCGCGCAGGCGGUUAUGUAAGACAGUUGUGAAAUCCCCGGGCUCAACCUGGGAACUGCAUCUGUGACUGCACAGCUAGAGUACGGUAGAGGGGGAUGGAAUUCCGCGUGUAGCAGUGAAAUGCGUAGAUAUGCGGAGGAACACCGAUGGCGAAGGCAAUCCCCUGGACCUGUACUGACGCUCAUGCACGAAAGCGUGGGGAGCAAACAGGAUUAGAUACCUGAGUAGUCCCUGUCUCUUAUAC
RNAcentral lists this ribosomal RNA (301 nucleotides) under uncultured bacterium. Its description in RNAcentral is "partial 16S ribosomal RNA". It matches the Rfam family "Bacterial small subunit ribosomal RNA", at positions 509 to 807 of the family's 1533-position model. The record is from RNAcentral.